This 1405-nucleotide ribosomal RNA is filed under the name Moraxella sp. Its description in RNAcentral is "bacterial SSU rRNA". It matches the Rfam family "Bacterial small subunit ribosomal RNA". Lineage: Bacteria; Pseudomonadati; Pseudomonadota; Gammaproteobacteria; Moraxellales; Moraxellaceae. The record is from RNAcentral.
UAACACAUUGCAAGUCGAACGAUGACUCUCUAGCUUGCUAGAGAAGAUUAGUGGCGGACGGGUGAGUAACAUUUAGGAAUCUGCCUAGUAGUGGGGGAUAGCUCGGGGAAACUCGAAUUAAUACCGCAUACGACCUACGGGUGAAAGGGGGCGCAAGCUCUUGCUAUUAGAUGAGCCUAAAUCAGAUUAGCUAGUUGGUGGGGUAAAGGCCCACCAAGGCGACGAUCUGUAACUGGUCUGAGAGGAUGAUCAGUCACACCGGAACUGAGACACGGUCCGGACUCCUACGGGAGGCAGCAGUGGGGAAUAUUGGACAAUGGGGGCAACCCUGAUCCAGCCAUGCCGCGUGUGUGAAGAAGGCCUUUUGGUUGUAAAGCACUUUAAGCAGGGAGGAGAGGCUAAUGGUUAAUACCCAUUAGAUUAGACGUUACCUGCAGAAUAAGCACCGGCUAACUCUGUGCCAGCAGCCGCGGUAAUACAGAGGGUGCGAGCGUUAAUCGGAAUUACUGGGCGUAAAGCGAGUGUAGGUGGCUCAUUAAGUCACAUGUGAAAUCCCCGGGCUUAACCUGGGAACUGCAUGUGAUACUGGUGGUGCUAGAAUAUGUGAGAGGGAAGUAGAAUUCCAGGUGUAGCGGUGAAAUGCGUAGAGAUCUGGAGGAAUACCGAUGGCGAAGGCAGCUUCCUGGCAUAAUAUUGACACUGAGAUUCGAAAGCGUGGGUAGCAAACAGGAUUAGAUACCCUGGUAGUCCACGCCGUAAACGAUGUCUACUAGCCGUUGGGGUCCUUGAGACUUUAGUGGCGCAGUUAACGCGAUAAGUAGACCGCCUGGGGAGUACGGCCGCAAGGUUAAAACUCAAAUGAAUUGACGGGGGCCCGCACAAGCGGUGGAGCAUGUGGUUUAAUUCGAUGCAACGCGAAGAACCUUACCUGGUCUUGACAUAGUGAGAAUCUUUCAGAGAUGAGGGAGUGCCUUCGGGAAUUCACAUACAGGUGCUGCAUGGCUGUCGUCAGCUCGUGUCGUGAGAUGUUGGGUUAAGUCCCGCAACGAGCGCAACCCUUUUCCUUAUUUGCCAGCGGGUUAAGCCGGGAACUUUAAGGAUACUGCCAGUGACAAACUGGAGGAAGGCGGGGACGACGUCAAGUCAUCAUGGCCCUUACGACCAGGGCUACACACGUGCUACAAUGGUAGGUACAGAGGGUUGCUACACAGCGAUGUGAUGCUAAUCUCAAAAAGCCUAUCGUAGUCCGGAUUGGAGUCUGCAACUCGACUCCAUGAAGUCGGAAUCGCUAGUAAUCGCAGAUCAGAAUGCUGCGGUGAAUACGUUCCCGGGCCUUGUACACACCGCCCGUCACACCAUGGGAGUCUAUUGCACCAGAAGUAGGUAGCCUAACGAAAGAGGGCGC